AACGAACGCUGGCGGCAUGCCUAACACAUGCAAGUCGAACGAGAUCUUCGGGUCUAGUGGCGCACGGGUGCGUAACGCGUGGGAAUCUGCCCUUUGGUUCGGAAUAACAGUUGGAAACGACUGCUAAUACCGGAUGAUGACGAAAGUCCAAAGAUUUAUCGCCAGAGGAUGAGCCCGCGUAGGAUUAGCUAGUUGGUGUGGUAAAGGCGCACCAAGGCGACGAUCCUUAGCUGGUCUGAGAGGAUGAUCAGCCACCCUGGGACUGAGACACGGCCCAGACUCCUCGGGGAGGCAGCAGUGGGGAAUAUUGGACAAGGGGCGAAUGCCUGAUCCAGCCAUGCCGCGUGAGUGAUGAAGGCCUUAGGGUUGUAAAGCUCUUUUACCCGGGAUGAUAAUGACAGUACCGGGAGAAUAAGCUCCGGCUACUCCGUGCCAGCCGCCGCAGUAA
This 448-nucleotide ribosomal RNA is filed under the name uncultured bacterium. Its description in RNAcentral is "partial 16S ribosomal RNA". It matches the Rfam family "Bacterial small subunit ribosomal RNA", at positions 29 to 523 of the family's 1533-position model. The record is from RNAcentral.